RNAcentral lists this long non-coding RNA (1331 nucleotides) under Citrus sinensis (sweet orange). RNAcentral describes it as "long non-coding RNA (CSIN_LNC002153)". Lineage: Eukaryota; Viridiplantae; Streptophyta; Magnoliopsida; Sapindales; Rutaceae. The record is from RNAcentral.
AUCAAAUCGCGGCAUUUAGGUUAUUGAAAUGAUUUUUAAAAAAAUAACGAAACACUGCGUUUAAGAAAGUGUGUCAACAAAAGCAAAAAUUUCCCAAGUCUCCCCAUCAUCGACAUUGUCACUCUCACUCACACACAGCACUCAACCCUAGCAUAGAUGCCCAUCAUCAUUCUCAAUCAAUUAGCCACUACGUACACUACCCAAACCCUAGCCGGCGGACCGUUCCUUACCCUUGUUCAAACUGCCAGCGUUCAAAUUUCCAUUGAAGCCAUUGUUUGAAUUGCGAACUAAAGCCUAGACUGAGAUUCAUCACUCGCUACUGUAUCUUGAACACAAAGAAUACUCAAAGCUAUUGUCGUGCAUGAUGGGUAAUUUCAUUUUCCAUAAUGUUAAAUACGUAGAAGAAAAUUCUACAUCUUUCGUUGAAAUUCAAGAACUUGAACAAUGUAGCGACAUGGUGAUCUUUGAAAAUUUCUUAUGGUCCACAAUAUGGCCACGUCUUAGGUUGAAACUCAAAAGACUAUGAUACUUUGCAUAACUUCAAGAUCAGCGAUUAGUGAUCGUUGAAAUUUCAACGGAAAAUCUAGAAUUUUCCUCAACGUGUUUGACAUUGUGGACACCUAAACAAUGAAUUCAAUUUUGGACCUAAUUUGAUUGAUACGUUACCCAUCAUGCACGAUAAUUUCUUUGAAAAUUCUUUUUUGUUCAAGAAUCAUAGCCUCAAUCUAUUUAUGUAUCCUUUCUUGUCACUACUAUUAGAAUAAGAAAUCCUUCGCACCACAAGAAAAUUGAUAUCAUUUUAUGACAAAAAUUAUUUUAUCAUAUAAUUAUAAUGGAGUCGUCGUAGAAUUUUGAUCUAUCAAACUUCAUUUUAUCAUGUAAUUAUAAUGGAGUCAGUCACAGAAUUUUGAUUUAUCAAACUAUUAAUGAUGUACUUGUGAUGUAAUAUUUAUCUAUUAAUAGUUUAUGAUAUAGAAUUUUGAUAUCAACAUGUUGACCAUAUUUAAAAAUAAUAUUUUAUUUUUUAUUUUUAUAAUAAAAACGCGGCAUUUAGAUUAUUGAAAUGAUUUUUAAAAAAAUAACGAAACACUGCGUUUAAGAAAGUGUGUCAACAAAAGCAAAAAUUUCCCAAGUCUCCCCAUCAUCGACAUUGUCACUCUCACUCACACACAGCACUCAACCCUAGCAUAGAUGCCCAUCAUCAUUCUCAAUCAAUUAGCCACUACGUACACUACCCAAACCCUAGCCGGCGGACCGUUCCUUACCCUUGUUCAAACUGCCAGCGUUCAAAUUUCCAUUGAAGCCAUUGUUUGAAUUGCGAACUAAAUCCU